RNAcentral lists this ribosomal RNA (737 nucleotides) under Sphaerisporangium siamense. RNAcentral's name for it is "bacterial SSU rRNA". It matches the Rfam family "Bacterial small subunit ribosomal RNA", at positions 117 to 869 of the family's 1533-position model. Lineage: Bacteria; Bacillati; Actinomycetota; Actinomycetes; Streptosporangiales; Streptosporangiaceae. The record is from RNAcentral.
GUGAGUAACCUGCCCUCAACUUCGGGAUAAGCCUGGGAAACCGGGUCUAAUACCGGAUAGGACCUGGUCUGGCAUCGGACUUCAGGUGGAAAGUUUUUUCGGUUGGGGAUGGGCUCGCGGCCUAUCAGCUUGUUGGUGGGGUAGUGGCCUACCAAGGCGACGACGGGUAGCCGGCCUGAGAGGGCGACCGGCCACACUGGGACUGAGACACGGCCCAGACUCCUACGGGAGGCAGCAGUGGGGAAUAUUGCGCAAUGGGCGGAAGCCUGACGCAGCGACGCCGCGUGGGGGAUGACGGCCUUCGGGUUGUAAACCUCUUUCAGCAGGGACGAAGUUGACGUGUACCUGCACAAGAAGCGCCGGCUAACUACGUGCCAGCAGCCGCGGUAAUACGUAGGGCGCGAGCGUUGUCCGGAAUUAUUGGGCGUAAAGAGCUCGUAGGUGGCUUGUCGCGUCUGCCGUGAAAGCCCAUGGCUUAACUGUGGGUCUGCGGUGGAUACGGGCUGGCUAGAGGUAGGUAGGGGCAAGCGGAAUUCCUGGUGUAGCGGUGAAAUGCGCAGAUAUCAGGAGGAACACCGGUGGCGAAGGCGGCUUGCUGGGCCUUACCUGACGCUGAGGAGCGAAAGCGUGGGGAGCGAACAGGAUUAGAUACCCUGGUAGUCCACGCUGUAAACGUUGGGCGCUAGGUGUGGGGUCCUUCCACGGGUCCCGUGCCGUAGCUAACGCAUUAAGCGCCC